UAUCGUUUUGGUUCUAAAUGA
This 21-nucleotide non-coding RNA is filed under the name Caenorhabditis elegans. The record is from RNAcentral. Lineage: Eukaryota; Metazoa; Nematoda; Chromadorea; Rhabditida; Rhabditidae.